GAUGAACGCUGGCGGCGUGCUUAACACAUGCAAGUCGAACGAUGAAGCCCAGCUUGCUGGGUGGAUUAGUGGCGAACGGGUGAGUAACACGUGAGUAACCUGCCCUUAACUCUGGGAUAAGCCUGUGAAACUGGGUCUAAUACCGGAUAGGAGCGCCUACCGCAUGGUGGGUUUUGGAAAGAUUUAUCGGUUUUGGAUGGACUCGCGGCCUAUCAGCUUUUUGGUGAGGUAAUGGCUCACCAAGGCGACGACGGGUAGCCGGCCUGAGAGGGUGACCGGCGACAAUGGGACUGAGACACGGCCCAGACUCCUACGGGAGGCAGAAGUGGGGAAUAUUGCACAAUGGGCGAGAGCGUGAUGCAGAGACGCAGCGUGAGGGAUAACGGCCUUCGGGGUGUAAACAUCUUUGAGUAGGGAAGAAGAGAAAGUGACGGUACCUGCAGAAGAAGCACCGGCUAACUACGUG
Molecule: ribosomal RNA, 466 nt
Filed under: uncultured bacterium
Lineage: Bacteria
Description: partial 16S ribosomal RNA
Rfam family: Bacterial small subunit ribosomal RNA
Source: RNAcentral